Molecule: non-coding RNA, 72 nt
Organism: Ciona savignyi (Pacific transparent sea squirt)
Lineage: Eukaryota; Metazoa; Chordata; Ascidiacea; Phlebobranchia; Cionidae
Source: Rfam
GGCGCCAUGGCUUAAUGGUAAAGCGCCUGUCUAGUAAACAGGAGAUCUUGGGUUCGAUCCCCAGUGGUGCCU